Molecule: ribosomal RNA, 366 nt
Filed under: uncultured Glomeromycotina
Lineage: Eukaryota; Fungi; Glomeromycota
Description: SSU rRNA
Rfam family: Eukaryotic small subunit ribosomal RNA
Source: RNAcentral
AGCAGCCGCGGUAAUUCCAGCUCCAAUAGCGUAUAUUAAAGUUGUUGCAGUUAAAAAGCUCGUAGUUGAAUUUCGGGAUCAAGGUGCCGGUCAUGCCUUUGGUAUGUACUGACAUCAUUGAUUUCUCCUUUCUGAUGAACUGUGAUGUCAUUAAUUUGGUGUCAUGGAGAAUCAGGACUGUUACUUUGAAAAAUUAGAGUGUUUAAAGCAAGCACACGCUUGAAUACAUUAGCAUGGAAUAAUGAAAUAGGACGUUUGAUCCUAUUUUGUUGGUUUCUAGGAUCGACGUAAUGAUUAAUAGGGAUAGUUGGGGGCAUUAGUAUUCAAUUGUCAGAGGUGAAAUUCUUGGAUUUAUUUGAAGACUAA